GUGACUAACGCCAGUCUCACACUCAAACUUUUGGCUGACUCUGACCAGUGCAGCUUUGGUGCUCUCCAGCAGGAGGUGGAUGUCCUUGAGAGUCAACUAAGUGAAUGUGAGAGAGAAAAGGAGAAAGAAUAGGCCUUUGGACACCCUGGACCACCCCUCCCCCCGCUUCUUGUGCCCAUGGAGGCCUCCAGGAAGUUAGCAAAUCCCUUGUGGUGCAGCUCACUCGGAGAGGCUUCUCAUAUAAGGCAGGUCCCUGGGGCCGAGACUCAGCACCCAAUCCAGCCUCUUCCCUUUACUGGGUUGCUCCUCUACGUACAGAUGGCAGGUACUUUGACUACUAUCGGCUGUGCAAAUCCUAUAAUGACCUCGCACUGCUGAAAAACUAUGAAGAGAGGAAGAUGGGCUAUGGUGAUGGCAGUGGAAACGUUGUGUACAAGAACUUUAUGUACUUUAACUACUGUGGCACAAGUGACAUGGCCAAAAUGGACCUUUCCUCCAACACACUGGUGCUGUGGCGUCUGCUGCCUGGUGCCACCUAUAACAACCGCUUUUCCUAUGCUGGUGUGCCCUGGAAGGACUUAGAUUUUGCUGGUGAUGAGAAGGGGCUGUGGGUUCUCUAUGCCACUGAGGAGAGCAAGGGCAACCUGGUUGUGAGUCGUCUCAACGCUAGCACCCUAGAAGUGGAGAAAACCUGGCGUACCAGCCAGUACAAGCCAGCCCUGUCAGGGGCCUUCAUGGCCUGUGGGGUGCUCUAUGCCUUACACUCACUGAACACCCACCAAGAGGAGAUCUUCUAUGCUUUUGACACCACCACCGGGCAGGAGCGCCGCCUCAGCAUCCUGUUGGACAAGAUGCUGGAAAAGCUGCAGGGCAUCAACUACUGCCCCUCAGACCACAAGCCGUAUGUCUUCAGUGAUGGUUACCUGAUAAAUUAUGACCUCACCUUCCUGACAAUGAAGACCAGGCUACCAAGACCACCCACCAGGAGGCCCUCUGGGGCUCAUGCUCCACCAAAACCUGUCAAACCUAACGAGGCUUCCAGACCCUGAGACCCCAGGGCUAGGCAGAGCAUUGGUAGAAGUGUGCCCUCUUCCUUACCUCCAGGAGGACCACAUCCCAAAGUGGCCAUUGGUCCUAAUGAUUGGAAGACUGAUUAUAUCUA
Molecule: RNA transcript, 1162 nt
Organism: Homo sapiens (human)
Lineage: Eukaryota; Metazoa; Chordata; Mammalia; Primates; Hominidae
Gene: OLFM5P
Gene name: olfactomedin family member 5, pseudogene
Exons: 3
Source: RefSeq, marked predicted